CAGUCGCCGCGGUAAUACGUAGGGUGCAAGCGUUAAUCGGAAUUACUGGGCGUAAAGCGUGCGCAGGCGGUUUUGUAAGACAGAGGUGAAAUCCCCGGGCUCAACCUGGGAACUGCCUUUGUGACUGCAAGGCUAGAGUACGGCAGAGGGGGAUGGAAUUCCGCGUGUAGCAGUGAAAUGCGUAGAUAUGCGGAGGAACACCGAUGGCGAAGGCAAUCCCCUGGGCCUGUACUGACGCUCAUGCACGAAAGCGUGGGGAGCAAACAGGAUUAGAUACCCCGGUAGUCCCUGUCUCUUAUAA
This 301-nucleotide ribosomal RNA is filed under the name uncultured bacterium. RNAcentral's name for it is "partial 16S ribosomal RNA". It matches the Rfam family "Bacterial small subunit ribosomal RNA", at positions 509 to 809 of the family's 1533-position model. The record is from RNAcentral.